RNAcentral lists this ribosomal RNA (581 nucleotides) under uncultured organism. Its description in RNAcentral is "bacterial SSU rRNA". It matches the Rfam family "Bacterial small subunit ribosomal RNA", at positions 679 to 1255 of the family's 1533-position model. The record is from RNAcentral.
CGGUGAAAUGCGUUGAUAUUCUGAGGAACAUCAGUGGCGAAGACGGCUUACUCGACCAAGACUGACGCUCAGGCACGAAAGCGUGGGUAGCAAACAGGAUUAGAUCCCCUGGUAGUCCACGCCCUAAACGAUGUCAUCUAGCCGUUGGGUCUCCUUAAUAUGACUUAGUGGCGAAGCUAACGCGUUAAGUUGUCCGCCUGGGGAGUACGGCCGCAAGGUUGAAACUCAAAAGAAUUGGCGGGGGCCCCCACCAGCGGUGGAGCAUGUUGUCUAAUUUGAUGCAACGAGAAGAACCUUUCCAGCCCUUGACAUACUCGGAACUUUCUAAAAAUAGUUUGUUGCCUUCGGGAACCGAAUACAGGUGCUGCAUGGCUGUCGUCAGCUCGUGUCGUGAGAUGUUGGGUUAAGUCCCGCAACGAGCGCAACCCUUAUCCUUUGUUGCCAGCACUUAAGGUGGGAACUUUUAGAAGACUUCCGCUGAUAAACCGGAAGAGAGGUGGGGAGAGACGUCAAGUCCUCAUGGCCCUUUCGGGCUGGGCGACCCCGCUGUUUCAAAUGGUCGGAACAGAGGGCAGCAAACU